RNAcentral lists this long non-coding RNA (529 nucleotides) under Mus musculus (house mouse). RNAcentral's name for it is "long non-coding RNA chr4:155411621-155412150". Lineage: Eukaryota; Metazoa; Chordata; Mammalia; Rodentia; Muridae. The record is from RNAcentral.
GCGUGAUUUUGCCAGCUGCAUAUGGUUUCUGUGAGUGUAUGGGUGUCUGGAAUUCUGGAGACUUUUCAGAGGGUAUUAUAUAAAUGCUAGAGCUCUGAUAGGUGGGUUAUUGUUGGGUUGUUGGUUGGUUUUGGCUGCUGUUGCUUGUUGGCUAUUGUUGUCUGCUGUUAAUUGUGGUUUGAUAAGCAGGCCUACAGAAAGAAGAAAGAGCAAGAAAUUAGAUAUCCUAACAUGAAGCUCAAACUUGCCCCAAGGAACUCAGUGCCCCAGGCCAGCAGGAAGUAGUCUAAUGAUAGCACCGCCCCCUUUUCAGCCCCUGACUACAUUCAGGGAUCUCUUUCCUUUCUUCUCUAUCCUUUCCUCUCCUAUCUAUUGUUAGGGGGUUGAACGGGUGGAGAAAAGAACCCACAAAGUAGCCAAAGACUGGCUACAAAUAUCAAAGCUGAAUACCAGUGGCACAAAUGUAAUCCCCAGCUUUCAGGAGAUUGAGAUAGGAAGAUUGUGGAUUCGGGGCUAUAUUGAGAUGCUG